Molecule: long non-coding RNA, 1017 nt
Filed under: Bemisia tabaci
Lineage: Eukaryota; Metazoa; Arthropoda; Insecta; Hemiptera; Aleyrodidae
Description: lncRNA ENSASIAIIG002303
Source: RNAcentral
AUGAUGGAUAGCGAAGAAGUCAUGUUUUCAGUGAGUGCCAAGCAAGGAGGCGCUCAGGCUGGCGAGGGUAACACCAGCCACAGGUCCUUGCACCCGGAAACCGCUCAGAGCGGCGACAAUGUCGUUGGGGCACUGGCGUCCCCCAACCCAAACCCAAUCGCUACCCAUCCUUCUGGAAAACCGGACAAUCGGGUUUCUCGCAGCGUGGAGGGUCGAGUUAUUGGUGACGUCGCUGGCGCUGCCGUGGGUGCGGCUAUCGAAGUGCUAACAGACGGGAUACCCACCUCCGAGGCAGCAGAAUUAAUUGAGAUGACCAGUGCGGCUGUUGAACGGAUGGCUGACUCCCAAACCUUGGGUGAAGUCAUCGACGAGACUGAAGGUGUUGUUAGCGGGCGCAACCCCUCAGGAAAAGUUCCAACAGUGCCCGAUUUCCUCAAACACCUGGAGAGUGAUGCUGCAGGUAAUGAAGCUAGGUUGGCUUCCUUUCGUGAGAACUACCAGUACUCACCCCAUGACCCCAGCGCUCCCCCCUCCUCACCACCAAAGUCGGAGGAGGAUGACGAUAUCCGCAUCCUGCGCUCCGUUAAAAAGAAUGACGCGAGCGUGGUUCUCCGCCCCCCACUUGAGCACACCUCCCCCUGUAGGCGGAAGGGAAAACGUGGACAACUCAAAGUGCUCGUGGCCGACGCACACGGCCAAUCUACGAGCAAGAGCAGUGGGCACUCCAGCUCCCAGAGCUCUACAACCCCUUCCUCCUCCUCGACCACAGUUGCACCGCCGGCUACCCCUCAUCGUGGUGAUCCGGCUCCCAACAACGCACCCCCCCCUCCCCAAUGGCCAUACAGGAGGGCACAAGCCCAAGCCCCAGCCCCUACCUCGCACCAUUCCAAAGGUGCUCGCAAGCCGAAACAUGUCGGCUUAUACCCGCCCUCCGUCACGAAGGGCAUCAAGUUUGGUGACAAUAGUAUCGUCACUGAUCUUGUGUCUGACAAGCCUAUCCACACUCUGCCCCUCUAA